Molecule: small RNA, 2897 nt
Filed under: fermentation metagenome
Description: bacterial LSU rRNA
Rfam family: Bacterial large subunit ribosomal RNA
Source: RNAcentral
UUUCUAGAUUAAUAAGUUAUUUAGAGAGUUGGCUGAGAGGUUUAAGGCGUCUAGCUUGAGACUAGAAGGAUGUAAAAUUCCCAUAGGUUCGAAUCCUAUACUCUCUGAAUAAACAGGUUAGAGCCAGGUUGGUUAGGCGUCUCAUUUGGGUUGAGGAGUAGUUAUGUUCGAAUCAUAAUAACCUGAAAUAUAAAGAUAUGAAUUAUAUAAUAAGUAUAUAAAGAAACUACUAUGGAUAAUUAGCUAUAUAUUAUAAGAAAUAUAAUAAAGAAUUCUAAGAGAAAUCCAGUAAUAAACAAAGUGAACUGAAAUAUCUUAGUAACUUUAGGAAAAAAAAUCAAACGAGAUUAUUAAUUAGUUAAUAACUAAUUAGUAAUAGCCUAAAAGUAAAAUGGAUAAAAUCUGUUUGAAUAUAGGGGAACCUUCCUCUAAGGCUAAAUAUAAUAUAUAAGCGAUAGCGAAAAGUACCGUGAGGGAAAAUUUGAAAUAGUAGUUUUAUAAGCAGCUCGAGUAAAAAUUAAAUUAAUAAUGAGAGUGUACCUUUUGCAUAAUGGGUCAGCAAGUUAAUUUUAGAUGCAAGCAUUGAUAAUUAAAAAUCAAGCUUAGAUAAACCAAUUAUGAGAAAAUGAAUUAGUAUCUAAAAUUAGACCCGAAGGCUAGUGAUCUUACCAUGGUCAGGAUUAUAAAAGUCCGAACGGGUUAUCGUUGUAUAGAUAUCCGAAGAACUGUGGUAAGUUAGUGAAAGACAAAACUGACUAGUAUAGCUGGUUUUCCGCGAAACCUAUAUGAGUAGGUAAUUUAACUAACAUCUUAGCAGGUACAGAACUGUGAUCUCGGACAAUAUCAUCAAGUUUUCAACUUGAUGAUUUUUGUAUACAUCGGGGGAUUGUAGUGAUUUUACCGGAGAGUAUUUGCACUCGGAAUGGCAAAGAUGAAUGUUGAAUAAUCGGACAUAGUACGAUAAGGUUGUAUGUCUAAAGGGAAACAGCCCAGAACAAGAGUUUAAGGUUCCAAAAUUAUUGUUGAGUGAAAUUAAGGAUGUUUUUUUCUAAUACAAUCAGGAAAUAGGCUUAGAAGCGGCCAUUUUUUGAAGACCUCGUAACAGAGCACUGAUUAAUAUUUUAGAAAAAAACACCGAAAAUUUAACGGAUCUAAACAAUAUACCGAAACCUUGUACACAUGUGUAUAAUAAUUCUAUAUGAUUGCGUAUGUGGGGUAGCGGAACAUUGGAUAUAUAUUUAUUAUUAAUUCUUUUUAAGAAUUAAUAAGUAUGAAUAAUGAGUAAGUAAUAUUUAAAACAAUUAUGUUUUAAGGAUAUUUAUAUAAUAUUCUUCUAUAUUGUAAGUAUAUAAGAUUUUAUAUAAAUAUAUAGACGUAUUAAUUUAUAAUAUGUCUUUAUUAUGAAAAUUAUUCAUCGAUAUAAUCCAAGAGAGAAUGCUGACAUGAGUAACGAAAAAGGAAAAUCCUCGCCUUAAGCUUAUGGUAUUUUAUUUAAUUUUCGGUAUCUAAAUUUUUAAUCAAAAGGUAAUUUUGAUGAUAUUUGUAUACAAUUAUAAUAAGUAAAAAACAAAACCUUUAUUAAGUAAUAAAGGUUCUGGAAAAUUUUUUACUUAGCCCGCCAAAAAAAAAUUUUUUUUUGGCGGGGAAUCCCCCCCUCCGGGGGGGGAAGCCCCCCCUCCGGGGGGCGGGGAUGCAAAAUAUAAUUGAUAUAUACCGUACCUAAAUACUAUCACAAGUAAGCAAGUAGAGUAUACAAAGGCGUUUGAGAGAACAAUCAUUAAGGAACUCGGCAAAUUGACUACCGUAACUUCGGGAUAAGGAGGGCCAUUUAUAUUAAUUUAACCGAAGUAAAAUUCGGAUAAUUAUUAAAUUAAUAUAAAGAGGAAGCAUAAAAUAGUGUUGUACGACUGUUUAAUAAAAACACAGCACUCUGCGAAGAUAAAAUAUCAAAGUAUUGAGUGUGAUGUCUGCCCAAUGUCGGCUGGGUAACGGAUUUAUCUUGGUUUAUAACUAAGGUUUUGAAGGAUACCCCGACGAAUGGCGGCCUUACCUAUGAGGGUCCUAAGGUAGCGGAAUACCUUGGCCGUUAAAUGCGGUCCUGCAUGAAUGACUUAACGAUACAACAGCUGUCUCGAUGAUUGUCUCAGUGAAAUUGGAAUAGCAGUGCAGAUACUGUUUACCUCUAGAUAGACGAGAAGACCCUAUGCAGCUUUACUGUUACUAAUUCUAAGAAUUUUUCAUUAGGUUAAUUUUGAGUGUAUAAGGUAAUAGUCUUAUGACAAUGAAACACCUUUAUUUGUACCUAAUAUAUUCUCAAGGAUUAGAAGGCAGUUUAUGCGGGGCACAGAUCCCACAAAAAGUACCUGGGUAUAUCCAAAGUUGUAAAUUUGUAAAUGAUAGUUUACAAAUAUAUUUAAUUUGUUAUUAAUUAUUCUCAUAAUAAUACAGUUAUUAUUAGAUUAAGUUCAGUUUAUUUUUAUUCUAGGUAAGAUUUUAACUAUAUGGUGAAUAGAUGUAUUUUAAGCUUUUAAUUUUUAAAGGCUUAUUUUCAUAUUAAUGUUUUAUUAAUAUGAUGUUUAUACAUACUACAAAAGUUUAAUGGCUAAAUCUUGCCUUACUGUUUGACCUACGAGUCUAUCAGUCGCGUAAGCGGGGCAUAUGAUCACAAGAUGCAUUAAGGAAAGGUCUUGGAUUAUAGAAAAAGUUACGCUAGGGAUAACAGGCUAAUUUGCGCAAGAGAGUACAAAUUGAGUGCGCGGUUUGGCACCUUGAAAAAAAACAAUAUGAAUAGAUUAGAUAAAUGAUAUUAAGGAUAUGUUAAUAGGUUGCAUACUAGGUGAUGCACAUAUAGGUAAGUCUGGUGACGAUAAAGGAUUUAUUACUUUUGAACAAACAAU